Molecule: ribosomal RNA, 1046 nt
Filed under: Cylindrocladiella lageniformis
Lineage: Eukaryota; Fungi; Ascomycota; Sordariomycetes; Hypocreales; Nectriaceae
Description: SSU rRNA
Rfam family: Eukaryotic small subunit ribosomal RNA
Source: RNAcentral
UNNCCAUGCANNUCUNNGNNNAGCAUUAUACAGCGAAACUGCGAAUGGCUCAUUAUAUAAGUUAUCGUUUAUUUGAUAGUACCUUACUACUUGGAUAACCGUGGUAAUUCUAGAGCUAAUACAUGCUAAAAAUCCCGACUUCGGAAGGGAUGUAUUUAUUAGAUUAAAAACCAAUGCCCUUCGGGGCUCCUUGGUGAUUCAUGAUAACUUCUCGAAUCGCAUGGCCUUGUGCCGGCGAUGGUUCAUUCAAAUUUCUUCCCUAUCAACUUUCGAUGUUUGGGUAUUGGCCAAACAUGGUUGCAACGGGUAACGGAGGGUUAGGGCUCGACCCCGGAGAAGGAGCCUGAGAAACGGCUACUACAUCCAAGGAAGGCAGCAGGCGCGCAAAUUACCCAAUCCCGACACGGGGAGGUAGUGACAAUAAAUACUGAUACAGGGCUCUUUAGGGUCUUGUAAUUGGAAUGAGUACAAUUUAAAUCUCUUAACGAGGAACAAUUGGAGGGCAAGUCUGGUGCCAGCAGCCGCGGUAAUUCCAGCUCCAAUAGCGUAUAUUAAAGUUGUUGUGGUUAAAAAGCUCGUAGUUGAACCUUGGGCCUGGCUGGCCGGUCCGCCUCACCGCGUGUACUGGUCCGGCCGGGCCUUUCCCUCUGUGGAACCCCAUGCCCUUCACUGGGUGUGGCGGGGAAACAGGACUUUUACUUUGAAAAAAUUAGAGUGCUCCAGGCAGGCCUAUGCUCGAAUACAUUAGCAUGGAAUAAUAGAAUAGGACGUGUGGUUCUAUUUUGUUGGUUUCUAGGACCGCCGUAAUGAUUAAUAGGGACAGUCGGGGGCAUCAGUAUUCAAUUGUCAGAGGUGAAAUUCUUGGAUUUAUUGAAGACUAACUACUGCGAAAGCAUUUGCCAAGGAUGUUUUCAUUAAUCAGGAACGAAAGUUAGGGGAUCGAAGACGAUCAGAUACCGUCGUAGUCUUAACCAUAAACUAUGCCGACUAGGGAUCGGACGGUGUUAUUUUUUGACCCGUUCGGCACCUUACGAGAAAUCAAAGUG